Oncorhynchus gorbuscha (pink salmon) is the source of this 712-nucleotide long non-coding RNA. RefSeq lists it as uncharacterized. The transcript has 2 exons. Lineage: Eukaryota; Metazoa; Chordata; Actinopteri; Salmoniformes; Salmonidae. The record is from RefSeq and is a predicted model, not a curated record.
AACAGCAUCAAAAUGACUGCCCAGAGACUUGGUUUGGUGAACAGCUGAGGGAUGGGGGAAGGAGAAGUGUAACCACUCUCAAAUGCAUAGCGAAAGCUAUUGUAGCAACCGUAACCCAACAACUAGCGAGCAUGUCAAGAGGUUCCGACAUCUUGGCGUAACAGUUAUAAGGUGUUGGCUUACAGUCACUGGACCCAGGAGAGAGACGGGACUACCGUGGAUCCUCUGGGGAGCCUCAACAACCUCAUGAUGCUGACGAGGCAGAGAAGAGUCUCUCCACAUUAGAACACCCCAAGAAACACCUGCAGAGAUCCACAGGGAAGAGAACUCUCUGCUGCUCUGUCUGUGGGAAGAGAUUCACCUCAUCAGGCAUUACAAUUCAUCAGGGAACACACACAGGGGAGAAAUCUUAUAGCUGUGAUCAAUGUGGGAAGAGUUUUACUACAUCUGGAUCUCUGACUUUACACCAGAGAACACACACAGGAGAGAAACCUUAUAGCUGUACUCAAUGUCGGAAGAGUUUUACUCAGCUCAGCAGCCUAAUAACAGCACCAGAGAAUACACACAGGAGAGAAACCUUAUAGCUGUGGUCAAUGUGGGAAGAGUUUUGCCCAAUCUGGAGCACUGACAGUGCACCAGAGAAUACACACAGGAGAGAAACCUUAUAGCUGUGGUCAAUGUGGGAACAGUUUUGCUGCGUCAAGAACUCUGA